This 424-nucleotide ribosomal RNA is filed under the name Bacteroidetes bacterium SCGC AAA024-P11. RNAcentral describes it as "bacterial SSU rRNA". It matches the Rfam family "Bacterial small subunit ribosomal RNA", at positions 354 to 774 of the family's 1533-position model. Lineage: Bacteria; Pseudomonadati; Bacteroidota. The record is from RNAcentral.
GUAAGGAAUAUUGGUCAAUGGGCGGAAGCCUGAACCAGCCAUGCCGCGUGCGGGAAGAAGGCCCUCUGGGUUGUAAACCGCUUUUGUCAGGGAAGAAUGACAGGGAUUUAUCCUUGGAGCGACGGUACCUGAAGAAUAAGCACCGGCUAACUCCGUGCCAGCAGCCGCGGUAAUACGGAGGGUGCAAGCGUUAUCCGGAAUCACUGGGUUUAAAGGGUACGUAGGCGGUCUUAUAAGUCAGGUGUGAAAUACCGCGGCCUAACCGCGGAACUGCACUUGAUACUGUAAGACUUGAGUAGGGUGGAGGUACACGGAAUGCAUCAUGUAGCGGUGAAAUGCUUAGAUAUGAUGUAGAACACCGAUAGCGAAGGCAGUGUGCCAUACCUUUACUGACGCUGAGGUACGAAAGCGUGGGGAGCGAACA